AGUGAACGCUGGCGGUAGGCCUAACACAUGCAAGUCGAACGGCAGCACAGUAAGAGCUUGCUCUUACGGGUGGCGAGUGGCGGACGGGUGCGGAAUACAUCGGAAUCUACUUUUUCGUGGGGGGUAACGUAGGGAAACUUACGCUAAUACCUCAUACGACCUACGGGUGAAAGCAGGGGAUCUUCGGACCUUGCGCGAUUGAAUGAGCCGAUGUCGGAUUAGCUAGUUGGCGGGGUAAAGGCCCACCAAGGCGACGAUCCGUAGCUGGUCUGAGAGGAUGAUCAGCCACACUGGAACUGAGACACGGUCCAGACUCCUAGGGGAGGCAGCAGUGGGGAAUAUUGGACAAUGGGCGCAAGCCUGAUCCAGCCAUACCGCGUGGGUGAAGAAGGCCUUCGGGUUGUAAAGCCCUUUUGUUGGGAAAGAAAAGCAGCAGGUUAAUACCCCGCUGUUCUGACGGUACCCAAAGAAUAAGCACCGGCUAACUUCGU
This 491-nucleotide ribosomal RNA is filed under the name uncultured bacterium. Its description in RNAcentral is "partial 16S ribosomal RNA". It matches the Rfam family "Bacterial small subunit ribosomal RNA", at positions 29 to 506 of the family's 1533-position model. The record is from RNAcentral.